GACGAACGCUGGCGGCGUGCUUAACACAUGCAAGUCGUACGAUGACCCGGCUCUUCGGAGCUGGAGAUUAGUGGCGAACGGGUGAGUAACACGUGGGUGACCUGCCCUGCACUCUGGGAUAAGCCCGGGAAACUGGGUCUAAUACUGGAUACGACCAGUGGCCGCAUGGUCUGCUGGUGGAAAGCCCUUCGGGGUGGUGUGGGAUGGGCCCGCGGCCUAUCAGCUUGUUGGUGGGGUGAUGGCCUACCAAGGCGACGACGGGUAGCCGGCCUGAGAGGGUGUCCGGCCACACUGGGACUGAGACACGGCCCAGACUCCUACGGGAGGCAGCAGUGGGGAAUCUUGCACAAUGGGCGAAAGCCUGAUGCAGCGACGCCGCGUGAGGGAUGACGGCCUUCGGGUUGUAAACCUCUUUCGGCAGGGAACAAGCCUGGGGGUUUUCUUCUGGGUGAGGGUACCUGCGGAAGAAGCACCGGCUAACUACGUG
This 487-nucleotide ribosomal RNA is filed under the name uncultured bacterium. RNAcentral's name for it is "partial 16S ribosomal RNA". It matches the Rfam family "Bacterial small subunit ribosomal RNA", at positions 28 to 507 of the family's 1533-position model. The record is from RNAcentral.